AAGGAAUAUUGGUCAAUGGGCGCAAGCCUGGACCAGCCAUGCCGCGUGCAGGAAGACGGCCCUACGGGUUGUAAACUGCUUUUGUACGGGAACAAACACCAUUACGUGUAAUGGCUUGAGUGUACCGUAAGAAUAAGGAUCGGCUAACUCCGUGCCAGCAGCCGCGGUAAUACGGAGGAUCCGAGCGUUAUCCGGAUUUAUUGGGUUUAAAGGGCGCGUAGGCGGCCCAUUAAGUCAGGGGUGAAAGACGGCAGCUUAACUGGCGCAGUGCCUUUGAUACUGACGGGCUUGAAUGCGGAUGAGGUAGGCGGAAUGAGACAAGUAGCGGUGAAAUGCAUAGAUAUGUCUCAGAACUCCGAUUGCGAAGGCAGCUUACUAAGUCGUGAUUGACGCUGAUGCACGAAAGCGUGGGGAUCAAAC
This 420-nucleotide ribosomal RNA is filed under the name uncultured bacterium. RNAcentral describes it as "bacterial SSU rRNA". It matches the Rfam family "Bacterial small subunit ribosomal RNA", at positions 356 to 773 of the family's 1533-position model. The record is from RNAcentral.